CAGACACCAUAACCCAACCAUGGACCUUUGAACACUUAGAGCCCAGAGACCUUCUCCUGAACUCAGAUGUGGAGCCUUUUCAUCAGAAGCCUCGGAACCAGUCCCUUCCCAGUUCAGCGCAGGGAUUUGCGAGGAGGCUAUCAGGCUGGACAAAAUGAAGCCGGGAGGCUUCUGGCCACACCUUGCCCUGCUCGGGGUUUCCCUGCCAGCUGUGCCAGCUGUGGACCAAGGAGCCUGCAGAAGCCCAAAUGUGGUUCUGGGAGAGUCAACAUAGGCAGAGGUUGUCUUGGUCAUGAUGUCUUCACCCCAAUAAGAAAGUAACAAAGGCAAUUACGUAAAUUGAGAUGGGAAGGCCUGCCUAUGGUGGUAGCACCAUCCCCUGCAUUUGGUCCCUAGACCGUGUAUGAGUGAAGAGAGCCAAUCGCUAGUACCCGUGCAUGCGUUAAUUCUCUCUCUGCUCAUGAAUGUAGCGAGCUUCCUCAAGUUCCUGUCACCUUGACUUCCCCUCAGUGAUGGACUGUAGCCUUGGA
Long non-coding RNA from Psammomys obesus (fat sand rat), 530 nucleotides. RefSeq lists it as uncharacterized. The transcript is spliced from 4 exons. The record is from RefSeq and is a predicted model, not a curated record. Lineage: Eukaryota; Metazoa; Chordata; Mammalia; Rodentia; Muridae.